GACGAACGCUGGCGGCGUGCUUAACACAUGCAAGUCGAACGGAAGGGCCCUGCUUUUGUGGGGUGCUCGAGUGGCGAACGGGUGAGUAACACGUGAGUAACCUGCCCUUGACUUUGGGAUAACUUCAGGAAACUGGGGCUAAUACCGGAUAGGAGCUCCUGCUGCAUGGUGGGGGUUGGAAAGUUUCGGCGGUUGGGGAUGGACUCGCGGCUUAUCAGCUUGUUGGUGGGGUAGUGGCUUACCAAGGCUUUGGCGGGUAGCCCGCCUGAGAGGGUGACCGGCCACAUUGGGACUGAGAUACGGCCCAGACUCCUACGGGAGGCAGCAGUGGGGAAUAUUGCACAAUGGGGGGAAGCCUGAUGCAGCAACGCCGCGUGCGGGAUGACGGCCUUCGGGUUGUAAACCGCUUUCGCCUGUGACGAAGCGUGAGUGACGGUAAUGGGUAAAGAAGCACCGGCUAACUACGUG
RNAcentral lists this ribosomal RNA (468 nucleotides) under uncultured bacterium. RNAcentral describes it as "partial 16S ribosomal RNA". It matches the Rfam family "Bacterial small subunit ribosomal RNA", at positions 28 to 507 of the family's 1533-position model. The record is from RNAcentral.